AUUGAACGCUGGCGGAAUGCUUUACACAUGCAAGUCGAACGGCAGCACGGGUGCUUGCACCUGGUGGCGAGUGGCGAACGGGUGAGUAAUACAUCGGAACGUACCCAGUCGUGGGGGAUAACGUAGCGAAAGUUACGCUAAUACCGCAUACGUCCUGAGGGAGAAAGCGGGGGACCGUAAGGCCUCGCGCGAUUGGAGCGGCCGAUGGCGGAUUAGCUAGUUGGUGGGGUAAAGGCCUGCCAAGGCGACGAUCCGUAGCGGGUCUGAGAGGACGGCCCGCCACACUGGAACUGAGACACGGUCCAGACUCCUAUGGGAGGCAGCAGUGGGGAAUUUUGGACAAUGGGCGAAAGCCUGAUCCAGCCAUUCCGCGUAAGUGAAGAAGGCCUUCGGGUUGUAAAGCUCUUUCGGCAGGGAAGAAACGGCUUGGGAUAAUACCCCGGGCUAAUGACGGUACCUGAAGAAGAAGCACCGGCUAACUACGUGCCAGCCGCCGCCGUAA
This 502-nucleotide ribosomal RNA is filed under the name uncultured bacterium. RNAcentral's name for it is "partial 16S ribosomal RNA". It matches the Rfam family "Bacterial small subunit ribosomal RNA", at positions 29 to 523 of the family's 1533-position model. The record is from RNAcentral.